GUGAUCAAGUCAAUCAUCUUCAGCACAUGAUUUUAAACUAGAGUUCUCUCAAUCAUCCGAGCCCAAAACAAUUGCUUAGAUAAUUCAUAUCUAACAGUUCGGCUCUACUCUCCAUAUAGCUCUUUUAAAUUGAGCAGUAUAGAAGAAGCAUCCAUAUCCUCAUGUUGUCUCUGUAAUUCAUUACUCAUAAAGGCCAACAUUAUACAUUUGACAACCAUGCUAUCAUUUUGCCACAUC
Molecule: long non-coding RNA, 237 nt
Filed under: Elaeis guineensis (African oil palm)
Lineage: Eukaryota; Viridiplantae; Streptophyta; Magnoliopsida; Arecales; Arecaceae
Description: long non-coding RNA (EGUI_LNC044646)
Source: RNAcentral